This is a non-coding RNA of Oleiphilus sp. HI0069, 186 nucleotides long. The record is from Rfam. Lineage: Bacteria; Pseudomonadati; Pseudomonadota; Gammaproteobacteria; Oceanospirillales; Oleiphilaceae.
GGCGUUCUGGAAUGCUGGCUUGCUAGAUAAGUCCUCGAGCCGAUAAUAACACCUUGGUAAUCACAUCAUGUGAUGUGUGCAAGUCCCCCGGUUUAUCUGGAUGGGAAAGCCUAAUUUGCAUAUAGUGAUCACCCCCUUGAACUUUCGGGUUCAAGGCCCUAUCUGGCAGCGGCAUUUUGGGCGCAC